GUGCUCGCUUCAGCAGCACGUGUAUUAAAAUUGCAACAAUACGAAGAUAUGCAUUGCCUGUACAAGGAUGACACGCAAAUUCAUGAAGCAUUCCAUAUUUUG
Molecule: small nuclear RNA, 102 nt
Organism: Ailuropoda melanoleuca (giant panda)
Lineage: Eukaryota; Metazoa; Chordata; Mammalia; Carnivora; Ursidae
Source: Ensembl